This 43-nucleotide ribosomal RNA is filed under the name Hypericum perforatum. Its description in RNAcentral is "partial 26S ribosomal RNA". The record is from RNAcentral. Lineage: Eukaryota; Viridiplantae; Streptophyta; Magnoliopsida; Malpighiales; Hypericaceae.
AAAGUGACCCCAGGUCAGGCGGGACUACCCGCUGAAUUUAAGC